Molecule: transfer RNA, 76 nt
Filed under: Opitutaceae bacterium
Lineage: Bacteria; Pseudomonadati; Verrucomicrobiota; Opitutia; Opitutales; Opitutaceae
Also listed under: 2 other names
Description: tRNA-Met
Rfam family: tRNA
About the family: Transfer RNA (tRNA) molecules are approximately 80 nucleotides in length. Their secondary structure includes four short double-helical elements and three loops (D, anti-codon, and T loops).
Source: RNAcentral
GCCAGAGUAGCUCAGUCGGUAGAGCAGAGGACUCAUAAGCCUUUGGUCGGCGGUUCAAGUCCGCCCUCUGGCACCA